RNAcentral lists this transfer RNA (72 nucleotides) under Ictidomys tridecemlineatus (thirteen-lined ground squirrel). Its description in RNAcentral is "Spermophilus tridecemlineatus (thirteen-lined ground squirrel) tRNA". It matches the Rfam family "tRNA". Rfam says of the family: Transfer RNA (tRNA) molecules are approximately 80 nucleotides in length. Their secondary structure includes four short double-helical elements and three loops (D, anti-codon, and T loops). Lineage: Eukaryota; Metazoa; Chordata; Mammalia; Rodentia; Sciuridae. The record is from Rfam by way of RNAcentral.
UGGGGUGUAGCUCAGUGGUAGAGUGCUCACCUCGAAUGUGGAAGGCACUGGGUUCAAUCCUCAGCACCAUAU